RNAcentral lists this transfer RNA (73 nucleotides) under Candidatus Parcubacteria bacterium. Its description in RNAcentral is "tRNA-Trp". It matches the Rfam family "tRNA". From Rfam's summary of the family: Transfer RNA (tRNA) molecules are approximately 80 nucleotides in length. Lineage: Bacteria; Candidatus Parcubacteria. The record is from RNAcentral.
GGGGGUAUAAGCUUAAUUGGCAAACUGCAGCUCUCCAAAAGCUGACUUCCAAGUUCGAAUCUUGGUACCCCCG